Molecule: ribosomal RNA, 364 nt
Filed under: uncultured bacterium
Lineage: Bacteria
Description: bacterial SSU rRNA
Rfam family: Bacterial small subunit ribosomal RNA
Source: RNAcentral
UAGGCGGUAAAAUAAGUCUGAUGUGAAAGCCCCCGGCUCAACCGGGGAGGGUCAUUGGAAACUGUUUUACUUGAGUACAGAAGAGGAGAGUGGAAUUCCAUGUGUAGCGGUGAAAUGCGCAGAGAUAUGGAGGAACACCAGUGGCGAAGGCGGCUCUCUGGUCUGUUACUGACGCUGAGGUGCGAAAGCGUGGGGAUCAAACAGGAUUAGAUACCCUGGUAGUCCACGCCGUAAACGAUGAGUGCUAAGUGUUGGGGGGUUUCCGCCCCUCAGUGCUGCAGCUAACGCAUUAAGCACUCCGCCUGGGGGAGUACGACCGCAAGGUUGAAACUCAAAGGAAUUGACGGGGGACCCGCACAAGCGG